This is a long non-coding RNA of Amphimedon queenslandica, 855 nucleotides long. RefSeq lists it as uncharacterized. The record is from RefSeq and is a predicted model, not a curated record. NCBI's taxonomy places the organism in Eukaryota, Metazoa, Porifera, Demospongiae, Haplosclerida, Niphatidae. The transcript is spliced from 6 exons.
UCAAAUAUAGUGGCAAGAGUAUGUAUAACAAAGCAAAAAAUUGAAACCUGGAAAGUAACUCAAAAAAGCUGAUGUGUAUUCAAGUGAUGAUGCUUCCUUUACACAAGCUAUAAGGAUGUAAUGAAAUUAUGGUGAAAGAUUUAACUUACAUGGACCAGAUUCAAUAGCAUCUUUAAAUAUAAGGAAUGUGUAUCAUGUAGUGGAGUUUUGGUGUAAGUGUUCUGUCUGGAUAACACUCAAGGAAUGUUGAAUGGUGUUGAUGAAUCAAUUGACUGAAAUAUGUCUCUGGGAGUGGUUUUGGGUGAUCGCUAACAUCAUUACCAUAAGGAAGUGAUAAAAUUCUCUCAUUUAACACUGGCAAGCUGAUUAUCUUAUCAUUAAUAAGAGCAGUUGUUGAAACAUGAUCAUGGAGGGGUCCUUGCAACAAGCGAAUAUGAUGGCUAUGUGUUUCUUUAGUGCGAGGUUCAAACUCUUCAGCAAAAAACUAAUACAUUGGAGAGAUUGAAACAGCGGUAUAUCAUAGCAACACUCAUAAUUAAUAUGUGAACCGAGAGAUGAUGACUGGACUAAAUUUCUUCCCAAUACACGUUCAACUGGCUCCUAUAUGUACAAGCAAUUUAAAUUAGUUUAUUGACGAUUAUUAUUAUUAUUGACUCACUAAUAGAGAUAAAUGUUUUUUAAAGUACUGAUUUUGUUUAUAUUCCGUCUCCAGGUCAUCAAAAGGACAUUGCAUUUCUUUAAAAAUGGUACUUGUUUCUGAGAUUACUGCCUGAGACACAUCAUUAUCCUUCAAUACUUUCAUUACUUUUGCCUUAACUAAUUCUAUAUUUUGUUCAUGGAACAUCGUUACACCUG